AAAGUCGUAACAAGGUUUUCCGUAGGUGAACCUGCGGAAGGAUCAUUAUUGAAUAUUCUUGAUAGGUUGUAGCUGGCUCUUAGGAGCAUGUGCACGCUUGUCUUGAUUUUAUUCAUCCACCUGUGCACCUUUUGUAGUCUUGGGGGUUGAGAGCGGUCAACUAUCGGAUGCCUAUUGGUUAUUCCGGAUGUGGGGAAUGCUGAGUGCGCAAGCAUACAGCUUUUCUCAAAGUGACUUGCAAACUUCUCCUUCAAGUCUAUGUAUUCAUAUACCACAUAGUAUGUUGUAGAAUGUGAUCAAUGGGCCUUUGUGCCUAUAACAAUCAUAUACAACUUUCAGCAACGGAUCUCUUGGCUCUCGCAUCGAUGAAGAACGCAGCGAAAUGCGAUAAGUAAUGUGAAUUGCAGAAUUCAGUGAAUCAUCGAAUCUUUGAACGCACCUUGCGCUCCUUGGUAUUCCGAGGAGCAUGCCUGUUUGAGUGUCAUUAAAUUCUCAACCCUUAUAACUUUUGUGAGCUAUUAGGGCUUGGAAAUGGGAGUUUGCGGGCCUUAUAGAGGUCAGCUCUCCUGAAAUGCAUUAGCGGAACUGUUUGCAGUCCCGU
Molecule: unclassified non-coding RNA, 601 nt
Filed under: Calvatia craniiformis
Lineage: Eukaryota; Fungi; Basidiomycota; Agaricomycetes; Agaricales; Lycoperdaceae
Description: partial contains 18S rRNA, ITS1, 5.8S rRNA, ITS2 and 28S rRNA
Rfam family: 5.8S ribosomal RNA (bases 331-484)
Source: RNAcentral